RNAcentral lists this ribosomal RNA (485 nucleotides) under uncultured bacterium. RNAcentral's name for it is "SSU rRNA". It matches the Rfam family "Bacterial small subunit ribosomal RNA", at positions 26 to 518 of the family's 1533-position model. The record is from RNAcentral.
AGGACGAACGCUGGCGGCGUGCUUAACACAUGCAAGUCGAGCGAGGUCCAACUGGUGGCAACACCAGGGAAGACCGAGCGGCGAACGGGUGAGUAACACGUGAGCAACCUGUCCCGAAGACCGGGAUAACACCGGGAAACCGGUGCUAAUACCGGAUGUCCCCACCAGAUCACAUGGUUCGGUGAGGAAAUGGAUUCCGCUUCGGGAGGGGCUCGCGGGCUAUCAGCUUGUUGGUUGGGUAACGGCCCACCAAGGCUACGACGGCUAGCUGGUCUGAGAGGACGACCAGCCACACUGGGACUGAGACACGGCCCAGACUCCUACGGGAGGCAGCAGUGGGGAAUCUUGCGCAAUGGGCGAAAGCCUGACGCAGCAACGCCGCGUGGGGAUGAAGGCUCUCGGGUUGUAAACCCCUUUUAGUAGGGAAGAAGCGAAAGUGACGGUACCUGCAGAAAAGCACCGGCUAACUACGUGCCAGCAGCCGC